CCUACGGGUGGCAGCAGUGGGGAAUAUUGGACAAUGGGCGAAAGCCUGAUCCAGCCAUGCCGCGUGUGUGAAGAAGGCCUUCGGGUUGUAAAGCACUUUCAGUGGGGAAGAAAGCCUUGGGGCUAAUACCCUCGAGGAAGGACAUCACCCACAGAAGAAGCACCGGCUAACUCCGUGCCAGCAGCCGCGGUAAUACGGAGGGUGCGAGCGUUAAUCGGAAUUACUGGGCGUAAAGCGCGCGUAGGCGGUCUGAUAAGCCGGUUGUGAAAGCCCCGGGCUCAACCUGGGAACGGCAUCCGGAACUGUCAGGCUAGAGUGCAGGAGAGGAAGGUAGAAUUCCCGGUGUAGCGGUGAAAUGCGUAGAGAUCGGGAGGAAUACCAGUGGCGAAGGCGGCCUUCUGGACUGACACUGACGCUGAGGUGCGAAAGCGUGGGUAGCAAACAGGAUUAGAUACCCCAGUAGGC
This 465-nucleotide ribosomal RNA is filed under the name Vreelandella stevensii. RNAcentral describes it as "partial 16S ribosomal RNA". It matches the Rfam family "Bacterial small subunit ribosomal RNA", at positions 338 to 795 of the family's 1533-position model. The record is from RNAcentral. Lineage: Bacteria; Pseudomonadati; Pseudomonadota; Gammaproteobacteria; Oceanospirillales; Halomonadaceae.